Molecule: ribosomal RNA, 318 nt
Filed under: Proteus mirabilis
Lineage: Bacteria; Pseudomonadati; Pseudomonadota; Gammaproteobacteria; Enterobacterales; Morganellaceae
Description: bacterial SSU rRNA
Rfam family: Bacterial small subunit ribosomal RNA
Source: RNAcentral
AGGUCCCGGUCACGAGCGCACCCUUAUCCUUUGUUGCCAGCACGUAAUGGUGGGAACUCAAAGGAGACUGCCGGUGAUAAACCGGAGGAAGGUGGGGAUGACGUCAAGUCAUCAUGGCCCUUACGAGUAGGGCUACACACGUGCUACAAUGGCAGAUACAAAGAGAAGCGACCUCGCGAGAGCAAGCGGAACUCAUAAAGUCUGUCGUAGUCCGGAUUGGAGUCUGCAACUCGACUCCAUGAAGUCGGAAUCGCUAGUAAUCGUAGAUCAGAAUGCUACGGUGAAUACGUUCCCGGGCCUUGUACACACCGCCCGUAA